RNAcentral lists this ribosomal RNA (1511 nucleotides) under Bacillus licheniformis. Its description in RNAcentral is "16S ribosomal RNA". It matches the Rfam family "Bacterial small subunit ribosomal RNA". Lineage: Bacteria; Bacillati; Bacillota; Bacilli; Caryophanales; Bacillaceae. The record is from RNAcentral.
UUAGAGUUUGAUCCUGGCUCAGGACGAACGCUGGCGGCGUGCCUAAUACAUGCAAGUCGAGCGGACCGACGGGAGCUUGCUCCCUUAGGUCAGCGGCGGACGGGUGAGUAACACGUGGGUAACCUGCCUGUAUGACUGGGAUAACUCCGGGAAACCGGGGCUAAUACCGGAUGCUUGAUUGAACCGCAUGGUUCCAAUCAUAAAAGGUGGCUUUUAGCUACCACUUACAGAUGGACCCGCGGCGCAUUAGCUAGUUGGUGAGGUAACGGCUCACCAAGGCGACGAUGCGUAGCCGACCUGAGAGGGUGAUCGGCCACACUGGGACUGAGACACGGCCCAGACUCCUACGGGAGGCAGCAGUAGGGAAUCUUCCGCAAUGGACGAAAGUCUGACGGAGCAACGCCGCGUGAGUGAUGAAGGUUUUCGGAUCGUAAAACUCUGUUGUUAGGGAAGAACAAGUACCGUUCGAAUAGGGCGGCACCUUGACGGUACCUAACCAGAAAGCCACGGCUAACUACGUGCCAGCAGCCGCGGUAAUACGUAGGUGGCAAGCGUUGUCCGGAAUUAUUGGGCGUAAAGCGCGCGCAGGCGGUUUCUUAAGUCUGAUGUGAAAGCCCCCGGCUCAACCGGGGAGGGUCAUUGGAAACUGGGGAACUUGAGUGCAGAAGAGGAGAGUGGAAUUCCACGUGUAGCGGUGAAAUGCGUAGAGAUGUGGAGGAACACCAGUGGCGAAGGCGACUCUCUGGUCUGUAACUGACGCUGAGGCGCGAAAGCGUGGGGAGCGAACAGGAUUAGAUACCCUGGUAGUCCACGCCGUAAACGAUGAGUGCUAAGUGUUAGAGGGUUUCCGCCCUUUAGUGCUGCAGCAAACGCAUUAAGCACUCCGCCUGGGGAGUACGGUCGCAAGACUGAAACUCAAAGGAAUUGACGGGGGCCCGCACAAGCGGUGGAGCAUGUGGUUUAAUUCGAAGCAACGCGAAGAACCUUACCAGGUCUUGACAUCCUCUGACAACCCUAGAGAUAGGGCUUCCCCUUCGGGGGCAGAGUGACAGGUGGUGCAUGGUUGUCGUCAGCUCGUGUCGUGAGAUGUUGGGUUAAGUCCCGCAACGAGCGCAACCCUUGAUCUUAGUUGCCAGCAUUCAGUUGGGCACUCUAAGGUGACUGCCUGUGACAAACCGGAGGAAGGUGGGGAUGACGUCAAAUCAUCAUGCCCCUUAUGACCUGGGCUACACACGUGCUACAAUGGGCAGAACAAAGGGCAGCGAAGCCGCGAGGCUAAGCCAAUCCCACAAAUCUGUUCUCAGUUCGGAUCGCAGUCUGCAACUCGACUGCGUGAAGCUGGAAUCGCUAGUAAUCGCGGAUCAGCAUGCCGCGGUGGAUACGUUCCCGGGCCUUGUACACACCGCCCGUCACACCACGAGAGUUUGUAACACCCGAAGUCGGUGAGGUAACCUUUUGGAGCCAGCCGCCGAAGGUGGGACAGAUGAUUGGGGUGAAGUCGUAACAAGGUA